CCCUCUGUCUGGCAUGAGGAGUCCAGGCUUUGUCUACAUUUUCUUCCUGACAUCAUACCUCGCAUACCGUACCCCCCACCCAGAGGGGACAGAUGGGAGACCCUGGCUGCCUCCUAGCCCGGCCCUCUGAGGGCAACGUACAAAAGACGGCCAGUUUUCGUACGUAUCUGGAGACUCACAAGCUCUCAAUCAAGCCAAAACCAGCUGCGGAAGUAAACAGAAAAAGGAUACGUUCAAAACAGUAGAAUUGAAAAUCCCACCCACAGCCGCAGUUUCGUGUGACUGCAAAUCAGCAAAACACCGAAGGUGAGAAAUCAAGCGAGAUCCUGGGAGGCAAGAUCCCUCGAGACCCACAAAGCCCUGUACAGAUAUGAGGAGCUCUGGCUUAACUUGCUGAAUGAAGGGGUGUGAUUGAGGAAUGAGGCAUACAAUUCUCUUGGCUCUUUUGCAGAACAUUAAGGACCUUCCUGCCCUGAGAUUCUUCCUGCUCUAAGCCACUUGCCCAAGGGUGGAAUUAAGAAUCUCCUCGUCACAGCGCUAUAGGAAUUCGACGUGAUUUUGCACCAUACCGACCCAGCCCAGGACCUGGCACAGGGAGGGCCCCCAGAAGACUUGAGGCCUCCCUUCCUGCCAGACACUGUGCCCAGCACAGGAGCACAGAUGCCCGAGUCUUAGUUCCUGCCUGCAGGGAGCUUGGGUUAUAAAGUC
This is a long non-coding RNA of Acinonyx jubatus (cheetah), 708 nucleotides long. RefSeq lists it as uncharacterized. The record is from RefSeq and is a predicted model, not a curated record. Lineage: Eukaryota; Metazoa; Chordata; Mammalia; Carnivora; Felidae. The transcript has 3 exons.